GAUGAACGCUGGCGGCGUGCCUAAUACAUGCAAGUAGAACGCUGAAGGAGGAGCUUGCUCUUCUGGAUGAGUUGCGAACGGGUGAGUAACGCGUAGGUAACCUGCCUGGUAGCGGGGGAUAACUAUUGGAAACGAUAGCUAAUACCGCAUGACAACAGUUAUUGCAUGAUAACUGUUUAAAAGGGGCAACUGCUCCACUACCAGAUGGACCUGCGUUGUAUUAGCUAGUUGGUGAGGUAACGGCUCACCAAGGCGACGAUACAUAGCCGACCUGAGAGGGUGAUCGGCCACACUGGGACUGAGACACGGCCCAGACUCCUACGGGAGGCAGCAGUAGGGAAUCUCCGGCAAUGGACGGAAGUCUGACCGAGCAACGCCGCGUGAGUGAAGAAGGUUUUCGGAUCGUAAAGCUCGGUUGUAAGAGAAGAACGAGUGUGAGAGUGGAAAGUUCACACUGUGACGGUAUCUGACCAGAAAGGGACGGCUAACUACGUG
Molecule: ribosomal RNA, 495 nt
Filed under: uncultured bacterium
Lineage: Bacteria
Description: partial 16S ribosomal RNA
Rfam family: Bacterial small subunit ribosomal RNA
Source: RNAcentral